Molecule: ribosomal RNA, 459 nt
Filed under: uncultured bacterium
Lineage: Bacteria
Description: partial 16S ribosomal RNA
Rfam family: Bacterial small subunit ribosomal RNA
Source: RNAcentral
CCUACGGGAGGCAGCAGUGAGGAAUAUUGGUCAAUGGGCGGAAGCCUGAACCAGCCAAGUAGCGUGAGGGAUGACGGCCCUAUGGGUUGUAAACCGCUUUUGCACGGGGAUAACACCCUCCACUUGUGGAGGUCUGCAGGUACCGUGCGAAUAAGGACCGGCUAACUCCGUGCCAGCAGCCGCGGUAAUACGGAGGGUCCGAGCGUUAUCCGGAUUUAUUGGGCUUAAAGGGGUCGUAGGGGGACGUUAAAGGCAGUGGUAAAAUCGCGGGGCUCAACCUCGCACCGCAGUUGAAACUGGGAGCAUUGAGUUCACAAGAGGUAGGCGGAAUGCGUGGUGUAGCGGUGAAAUGCAUAGAUAUCACGAAGAACCCCGAUUGCGAAGGCAGCCUGCCGGGGUGCAACUGACGCUGAGGCUCGAAGGUGCGGGUAUCAAACAGGAUUAGAUACCCGUGUAGUC